ACGAACGCUGGCGGCGUGCUUAACACAUGCAAGUCGAACGAUGAACCACUUCGGUGGGGAUUAGUGGCGAACGGGUGAGUAACACGUGGGUAAUCUGCCCUUCACUCUGGGACAAGCCCUGGAAACGGGGUCUAAUACCGGAUAUCACUUCCACUCGCAUGGGUGGGGGUUGAAAGCUCCGGCGGUGAAGGAUGAGCCCGCGGCCUAUCAGCUUGUUGGUGAGGUAACGGCUCACCAAGGCGACGACGGGUAGCCG
This 256-nucleotide ribosomal RNA is filed under the name Streptomyces sp. ISO473_OTU2594. RNAcentral's name for it is "partial 16S ribosomal RNA". It matches the Rfam family "Bacterial small subunit ribosomal RNA", at positions 29 to 289 of the family's 1533-position model. Lineage: Bacteria; Bacillati; Actinomycetota; Actinomycetes; Kitasatosporales; Streptomycetaceae. The record is from RNAcentral.